This 84-nucleotide transfer RNA is filed under the name Sinorhizobium phage phiM7. RNAcentral's name for it is "tRNA-Thr". The record is from RNAcentral. RNAcentral also lists the same sequence under 2 other names. Lineage: Duplodnaviria; Heunggongvirae; Uroviricota; Caudoviricetes.
UGGAGCCGGUAGACAGAUUCGAACUGCCGACGUUUGAAUACCUGAUUACAAAUCAGGUGCCUUCGACCGCUUGGCUAUACCGGC